This is a non-coding RNA of Procambarus clarkii (red swamp crayfish), 191 nucleotides long. The record is from RefSeq and is a predicted model, not a curated record. NCBI's taxonomy places the organism in Eukaryota, Metazoa, Arthropoda, Malacostraca, Decapoda, Cambaridae.
CGGAGCUCAUUAACUGUUUAAUAAUUGUAAACAAAGCCGCCAAAGAUUGAGAAAAGAUGGACAGGUUCGUAAGUGUCUUCGUGAAUCUGGCCCAAGAUCUAUAACCAGUAUGAUGUUUGUUUUUUCUGUCCACAAAAUAUUUUUUUGUUACCAAUGUAUUUGUUGAUGACAAAUAAAGAAUAUUCCAUUAA